This 455-nucleotide long non-coding RNA is filed under the name Lactuca sativa (garden lettuce). Its description in RNAcentral is "long non-coding RNA (LSAT_LNC001729)". The record is from RNAcentral. Lineage: Eukaryota; Viridiplantae; Streptophyta; Magnoliopsida; Asterales; Asteraceae.
GGGAUGCCAGGUGUCCAUGUUGAUGGCAUGGAUGUGUUGAAGGUGAGGGAGGUAGCAAAGGAGGCUAUUGGGAGAGCUAGGAGAGGAGAAGGCCCAACUUUGGUUGAAUGUGAGACUUACAGAUUCAGAGGACACUCUUUGGCUGAUCCUGAUGAGCUUCGUGACCCAGGUGAGUUGCUUUUAAGAUUUGAAAUUUGUAUAUACAUAAGAUUUGAAAUUUGUUGUGAUUGUAUAUUUGUAUUGUGAAUUGCAGCUGAGAAGGCUCAUUAUGCAACAAGGGAUCCAAUAACAGGAUUGAAGAAAUACCUGAUUGAAAACAAACUGGCAAGUGAAGCAGAUUUAAAGGCGAUAGAGAAGAAGAUAGAUGAGGUGGUUGAGGAAGCUGUGGAGUUUGCAGAUGAAAGCCCUGCUCCUUCAAGAAGCCAACUGCUGGAAAAUGUGUUUGCAGAUCCAAG